GGUCUCCGCCCCUCAGGGGGCCUGUUUCCGGCUGAGUCAGCGUGGGGGGCCCAAGGCUGCGUCAGUGAGGGGAGAACUGACGUAGCCCCCCCCCCCAGACCGGCAGGGCCAGCCAAGACACAGAGACUGGAGCACAGACAUCCAGAGUGAGAAAAAGACGAAGUCAUAAAACAAUGGGGUCUACAGACAAAAGAAGUUCUAAAGAAACAAGCUCAGAGGCUCGGAGACAAGGACCAGGGGAGCCCACAGCCCAAGGCUCUGAGGGGGGCUCACAAACAUGAGAGAAGAUGCCACUGGAAUGCGAGCCGGGAGCCAGGGGUCCUUGCUCAUGUGCUGGCCCCUGGGCGAGGGAGCCCGAUGCGGGACUCGAUCCCGGGACGCCAGGAUCAUGACCUGAGCCGAAGGCAGUCGCUUAACCAACUGAGCCACCCAGGUGCCCAGGAAGCAACUUCUUCACAACCAGGCAUGACCAG
This is a long non-coding RNA of Zalophus californianus (California sea lion), 473 nucleotides long. RefSeq lists it as uncharacterized. The transcript has 3 exons. The record is from RefSeq and is a predicted model, not a curated record. NCBI's taxonomy places the organism in Eukaryota, Metazoa, Chordata, Mammalia, Carnivora, Otariidae.